GGGAUCAAGCGUAAAGGGCGCGGGGUGGAUGCCUGGGCACAGGACGGCGAAGAAGGACGUGGCAAGCUGCGAAAAGCCACGGGGAGCUGCAAGCGAGCGUUGAUCCGUGGGUGUCCGAAUGGGGGAACCCGGCCGGGGUGAUGCCCGGUCAUCGUGUGGCUGAAUACAUAGGCUAUGCGAGGCGAACCCGGGGAACUGAAACAUCUAAGUACCCGGAGGAAGAGAAAACAAUUGUGAUUCCCUGAGUAGCGGCGAGCGAACGGGGAAGAGCCCAAACUGCGUAGGCGUAACAGGCUGCAGCCGUUGUCUACGCGGGGUAGUAGGGCUGGACUGGAGGGGCCUGCAGGUCCUUCGGAGGGUCGGUUUGAGUGAGCUGAAGCGCGUUGGAACGCGUCGCCGUAGAGGGUGAGAGCCCCGUAGGCGAAAUUCGGCCGAUCGUCUGGGUCUGGUACCUGAGUAGGCCGGGACACGAGAAAUCCCGGUUGAAUCUGGCAGGACCAUCUGCCAAGGCUAAAUACGUUCCUGUGACCGAUAGUGGACGAGUACCGUGAGGGAAAGGUGAAAAGCACGCCGGGAGGCGGGUGAAAUAGAACCUGAAACCUCGUGCCUACAAGCGGUGGGAGGGUCCUGAUCUCUUUCGGGAGAGAAGGCCUGACCGCGUGCCUUUUGCAUUAUGAUCCGGCGAGUUGGACCUAGCGGGCGAGGUUAAGCCGUUCAGCGGCGGAGCCGAAGCGAAAGCGAGUCUUAACUGGGCGUUAUAGUCCGUUGGGCCAGACCCGAAACCAGAGUGAUCUAUCCAUGGCCAGGUUGAAGCGGGGGUAAUGCCUCGUGGAGGACCGAACCGUUGUAGGUUGAAAACUGCUCGGAUGAGCUGUGGAUAGGGGUGAAAGGCCAAUCAAACCUGGAGAUAGCUGGUUCUCCCCGAAAGAUAUUUCGGUAUCGCCUCUGAGUGUAGACUGCGGGAGGUAGAGCACUGGAUGGGCUAGGGCCCUUCACGGGGUACCAAACCCAACCAAACUCCGAAUGCCCGACAGUUGGUCUCAGGGAGGCAGGGCGCGGGCGAUAAUGUUCGUGCGCGAGAGGGGAACAACCCAGACCCUCGGCUAAGGUCCCUAAGUACAAGCUAAGUGAGAAAGGAUGUGAAUCUGCGUAGACAACUGGGAGGUUGGCUUAGAAGCAGCCAUUCCUUGAAAGAGUGCGUAAUAGCUCACCAGUCAAGCGGGUUUGCGCCGAUAAUGACCGGGACUCAAGCUUGUCACCGAAGCCAGGGCUGCGGCCACUUUUCGAAGUGACUGCGGGGUAGGGGAGCGUUGCCUGAGCAUGGAAGCGGGGCCGUGAGGCUACCCGUGGAGCGCAGGCAAGUGAGAAUGCCGGAAUGAGUACGCGAUAAACGGGGUGAGAACCCCCGUCGCCGAAAGCCCAAGGUUUCCUGAGCCAUGUCGAUCAGCUCAGGGUUAGUCGGCCCCUAAGGUGAGGCCGAAAGGCGUAGCCGAUGGGAAACGGGUCAAGAUUCCCGUACCGCCCAGUAGCCGUUUGAGCCUGCGGAGGGACGCAGUAGUGACAGGUCCGUCAGAUGGUGGAAUCUGAUGUAAGGAGGUAGGCGUUUCCGGGGAGGCAAAUCCCCCUGGUCAAGCCGAGAUCCGAUGCCGAAGGGGCCCUCGGGCCCCGUCAAGGGACCGUAAUCAGACUGCCGAGAAAAGCUUCGCAGGCGAGGUGAUUGGGCGACCGUACCGCAAACCGACACAGGUGGGCGAGGCGAGAAGCCUCAGGCGCUCGAGUGAUUCUUGGUCAAGGAACUCGGCAAAAUGUCCCCGUAACUUCGGGAGAAGGGGAGCCCGUGGUAGGUGAAGCGCUUCGCGCGUGGAGCUGAAGCGGGCCGCAGAGAAUCGGCCCAAGCGACUGUUUAGUAAAAACACAGGUGUCUGCAAAGUCGUCAAGACGACGUAUAGGCACUGACGCCUGCCCGGUGCCGGAAGGUUAAAGGGAGAGGUCAGCUUUUUUCUUCGGAAUCUGGCGAAGCUUCGAACUGAAGCCCCGGUAAACGGCGGCCGUAACUAUAACGGUCCUAAGGUAGCGAAAUUCCUUGUCGGGUAAGUUCCGACCUGCACGAAUGGCGUAACGACUUGGGCACUGUCUCGACCAAGAGCUCGGCGAAAUUGGAGUCUCGGUGAGGAUACCGAGUACCCGCGGCAGGACAAAAAGACCCCGUGCACCUUUACUACAACCUGACAUUGGGUUUUGGCAUCGCCUGUGUAGGAUAGGUGGGAGGCUAUGAACCGGGGGCGUCAGCUUCCGGGGAGCCACUGGUGAAAUACCACCCUUGUGAUGUCGGGAUUCUAACCUGGGACCCUACAGCGGGUUCGGGGACCGUGUCAGGCGGGUAGUUUGACUGGGGCGGUCGCCUCCCAAAAGGUAACGGAGGCGCGCAAAGGUUCCCUCAGCGCGGUCGGCAAUCGCGCGGAGAGUGUAAAGGCACAAGGGAGCUUGACUGCGAGACCGACAGGUCGAGCAGGUGCGAAAGCAGGCCUUAGUGAUCCGGCGGUCCCGUAUGGAAGGGCCGUCGCUCAACGGAUAAAAGGUACGCCGGGGAUAACAGGCUUAUCGCCCCCGAGAGUUCACAUCGACGGGGCGGUUUGGCACCUCGAUGUCGGCUUAUCGCAUCCUGGGGCUGGAGAAGGUCCCAAGGGUCGGGCUGUUCGCCCGUUAAAGCGGUAC
RNAcentral lists this ribosomal RNA (2715 nucleotides) under Candidatus Benthicola marisminoris. Its description in RNAcentral is "partial 23S ribosomal RNA". It matches the Rfam family "Bacterial large subunit ribosomal RNA", at positions 1 to 2599 of the family's 2925-position model. The record is from RNAcentral. Lineage: Bacteria; Pseudomonadati; Gemmatimonadota; Gemmatimonadia; Candidatus Palauibacterales; Candidatus Palauibacteraceae.